Osmerus eperlanus (European smelt) is the source of this 3118-nucleotide long non-coding RNA. RefSeq lists it as uncharacterized. The transcript is spliced from 2 exons. The record is from RefSeq and is a predicted model, not a curated record. NCBI's taxonomy places the organism in Eukaryota, Metazoa, Chordata, Actinopteri, Osmeriformes, Osmeridae.
AGGAAAGCUCCUAUGGUCGGUCUGUUUGUGUGCGUAUUAUCAGCCGCAGUCACACAUCGCGUCCGCAGGUUCGACCUCGAUUCAUAUGUCAACCAAGGCGUCAUAUGGUGCUACUGUGUAUAAAGGGUCUGGGCAUUACUUUGGUCUCUACUGAAAUAGUGGGAGCACGAGGAUGACUCAUCAGAACUGCGUUUCAAGCACAAAUAACAAAUCCAUACUAUGCAAAGUCCCAAGACUCCUCCUAUCGUCCUCAGUACCGGGUCGCAAUACAACCCAUCUUUACCUCUCGCUCCCUCUCUCUCACUUUCUCUCUCUCUCUUUCUCUCUCUUUCUCCCGACCACACAGACCACUGAAACUGCACUUGGCCUCCUACCAGAUCUCGCUGUCAUGAAUGUUACACAUGUUCAGCUGAUCUUUUCAACUCUGUCAUAGCUGAGCCGUGGGCCCCCAGUCCUCUGUUCUAACUCCAGGGCUGAACAAAGUUGACUCCUUAGAUCCAGGAAAUGAUCCAGGAAAUGAUCCAGGAAAUGAUCCAGCCCACCCCCCUUCCUGUUCCCUCAGUGUACGAGUGCCUCCUAGACUAUCCGUGUUUGGGUUGGCAUGGCUAUCAGGCGAACCCAGCAGCCAAUCACUGUCCUCUCAGUCUGCACCAUCCUCAUCCUCCUCCUCUUCUCUGUUUGCUCACUAGGGGGCCAGUUGUGGUGGUGGCGGAGGGGGAAGGGGGGCCAGGUAAUUACUACUGGGGUAUGUGCAGACACAAGCAAAGAGUUUCCUGACCACCCUACAACACAAUAAGCCAAACAACAUUGUCUGUAAUUGUUAUGUGCGAGCGUACGUUGCUAAAUAAGGAUGUAGCAUCUCUCUUAGACUGUUUAGCAUGUGCUAAAGCUACUGUACAUCCCUAACAUAUUAAACAGCAAAACAAACAUUCACUACUGAGGCAUUAAUUACAACCAGAUGAGAGAAACUUGAUUUUACUUCCUUCAAAAAAAAACACUAACUUUAAUCAGCUGACAAUAACUUAGUCUAAGAGUACUUUUAUUAAAUCUGGCCCAUUUUAUGUAGAACAUUUUGCUGGAUACUAUCAGCAAAUUCUUUGAUUGCAAACCAAUAGUUUUACGUGAAGUCCAAGGACCUGUAUCGUAAUAACUUCACCAUUAUAUUGGUCAUCAGAUGUACAUAGAACAUAACUAUUAGUCUCUUAGGCGUUUUAAGAAAUAGUGCAGCAAGCAUGUAUACAACAAAGUACAUUUUAUUAAUGAUAUAGACUGUCGUCAUGUUGACCAUUCAGGUCAGUAUCAGUAGGAAUGGUCCUUAGUGUUCUGUUCUGCCCCCUGCAGUACAGGAAGAGGAACUGCAGGUGAGACGAUCCAAGAUCUGUCAAAACAAGUGGGCACUUAAACUAAAUUGUUGCAGUGAACUCGCUUCCUUUUGAAUUGUCUGCUUUGGAAAAAAGCAAACUAUCAAAAACUAGCAAAUAUCUUAUACAGUGGAUACCCUGAUGCCUUCCCAACAAGUUUCAAUCAUGGGUAUGAAUUACAUUUUUAAAGAAAUUCAAGAAAGAUUUGACGUGAUGGUACAUUUUUUCAUGUGAUGAUGAAGUUCAACCAUUUUUUCCACAGCUUCUACUGGAGACUGUAAAGUGAUAUUGAUUAAUAUAUGGCUAUGGUGAUUGUGUGAACUAUGGCAAAUUAUUUUAACUUAGUAUGAAUUAUUAGUAAGAUUAAAUUACAUGUUCCCUAGUGAUUAUCAUGUAAAUAUUGAAGACUCAAUAUGAAAACAAACAUUAUAUAGGCCUAUCAUUUAGUUAGAAACCUAUUUAUGAACUAACCCUAAACAUACAGUAGUAGUCAACCUCAACAACAAAUAAGAAUUAAAAAACAACAAGGAAACAUUGUAUUUGUUUCUCUGUGCCUGAAUUACCUACAGUAUUUACAUAGGAGGUUUUGAAUGAAACCUGGGGAAGUAUUUGAGGGGGGGCUUGUAUUUUGCAAUGUUGUGUUUGUUUCAACAAAGUUGAAUUGGUUGGUUAAACAUCACAAUCAGCCCUCCUAAUGCUACACCCUUAUCCUUAGAGUGCAUACUUUACUCUUGCACUCAUUCUUGGUGACCUAAAAGAUAAAGGGUGAACAUGACUAUGUUGGAUUAUCUCAACCAAUGCUGAUGUCUAUGAGUCGAAAUAGUCGAGUUCUUAACCCGGAAGUGAUGCAAUAUUACAUCCCUGGGGUCAACCACUCUAUUCCUUGACUGUAGUGUAUGUUAUGCCACAUGCAGUAGGUGAUAUUCAGUGUCCUGUUAAAGAGCAAGAUCUGGACCUCUGCUGUAGUAGGGAUGACUUCAGGUAGCCUGUGGUUCUGCUUUAGGUCGUUCUCGACAAUUUUGAUCAGUAUUUUAUGAAAAGGCGUGUUCAUUUCAUGGACUGAAGCUGCAUUAUGACGGUUGAGCUAUUCUUGCUUUGCGUUUCUUGGGAGUAGAUGCCUAAACUUAUAUUUGUGAACACUUGGUUUACAGAUUCCUUGAAUACUUGAUAUUUGUCAUUAAAAAAAUAAAUCUGACACCAAGUUUUGUUUUUCUGUGAUUCAAGAUCUCAAAAUGUCCAAUGUUGCCUUUAGUCGUGUGGCACUAACUGUAAAUGGUCAUACUGAAAAGAAACAUGAAAGUUAUCAGAUAUUGUAACUUGAUGGCAUGAACAAAUACUCAAUAUGACACACUAAACUAUUUGACAUUUUUAUUUAACAGCUUCUUGGCUUUCCUGAAACCAGAAUCGUUGCAACACUUCUACACAUAUUGUAAAAAAAGCUAGAAUAGCAAGAUGAUGACAGUACCGUCACUGUUGACCUACCAGACAAGCAUGGUAUUAUAGGUGUGGGUUUGUCUGGGGGGAAACAGAACCAUAGACUAAACAGAAGUAAAUGUCUGAUGAUAUUGAGAAUACAAGCCAGUACAUCAUAAGGAGGUUCCAUUCAGUAGACAAGAUAAUAACCAUGUGUAAUGUGGCAUAACAUCUGUAAUACCACAGAAUUGACACAAAACACAUUUUGUCUUUGAGCAUGUUUUCCAUGAUGGAGUUGAUGAACAUUACUACAAUACAGCAGGUGAUUAUUCUUGAUUAUCAAA